Molecule: ribosomal RNA, 486 nt
Filed under: uncultured bacterium
Lineage: Bacteria
Description: partial 16S ribosomal RNA
Rfam family: Bacterial small subunit ribosomal RNA
Source: RNAcentral
GAUGAACGCUAGCGGCAGGCUUAGCACAUGCAAGUCGAGGGGCAGCGCGGGAUAGCAAUAUCCUGGCGGCGACCGGCGGAAGGGUGCGUAACGCGUGAGCGACAUGCCCGUUGCCCGGGGACAACCGGUGGAAACGCCGACUAAUCCCCGAUGGGAUAUUGUGCCGCAUGGCACGAUAUUGAAAGUUACGGCGGCGACGGAUUGGCUCGCGUCCGAUUAGCUGGUUGGCGGGGUAACGGCCCACCAAGGCUGCGAUCGGUAGGGGUUCUGAGAGGAAGGCCCCCCACAAUGGGACUGAGACACGGCCCAUACUCCUACGGGAGGCAGCAGUGAGGAAUAUUGGUCGAUGGGCGGAAGCCUGAACCAGCCAUGCCGCGUGCGGGAAGGAGGCCCUAUGGGCUGUGAACCGCUUUUGCCUGGGGGCAAUAAGGGCGUCGCGCACGUCCGAUGAGAGUACCAGGCGAAUAAGCAUCGGCUAACUCCGUG